This is a long non-coding RNA of Parus major (Great Tit), 301 nucleotides long. RefSeq lists it as uncharacterized. NCBI's taxonomy places the organism in Eukaryota, Metazoa, Chordata, Aves, Passeriformes, Paridae. The record is from RefSeq and is a predicted model, not a curated record. The transcript has 3 exons.
GUGCCCGACGCGCGACGCGCAGCUCGUGCCGCGUCGGGCCUACCCCGCGGGCUCCCUCAGCCUCGCGUCCCUCGGCACCCGGACCGCGUCUCGCACCCCCGGUGCCCUCAGAGCCCUCCCGUCCCCGCAGGGGCAGACUCACUGCCCUCAGCGUCACUGAAAGGCCACCAUAAGAGAAGAGAGCAAUUAAUGAGAUGAUUCCUGGUACUUUUUCCACUCAGGUCUUUCACAUGCAAGAAUGUGUGUAUAAAAGGAAACACCAAGAGAACAGUAGCUACAGAUCAGUCUUCUAAGUAAUACA